Molecule: RNA transcript, 600 nt
Organism: Carlito syrichta (Philippine tarsier)
Lineage: Eukaryota; Metazoa; Chordata; Mammalia; Primates; Tarsiidae
Gene name: glutathione S-transferase P pseudogene
Exons: 1
Source: RefSeq, a predicted model, not a curated record
UGUCCCCGCCGCACGAUGCCGCCCUACACCGUUAUCUAUUUCCCAGUUCAAGGGCGCUGUGAGCCCAUGCAGAUGCUGCUCGUAGACCAGGGCCAGAGCUGGAAGGAAGAGGUGGUGACCAAGGACACCUGGCAGGAGGGCUCACUCAAGGCUUCCUGUCUGUACGGUCAGCUCCCCAAGUUCCAGAACGGAGACUUCACCCUGUACCUGUCCAAUGCCAUCCUAAGGCACUGGGGACGCACCCUGGGGCUAUGUGGGAAGGACCAGCAGGAGGCGUCCAUGGUGGACAUCGCGAAUGAAGUCGUGGAAGACCUCGGUAUUAAAUACAGCCUCAUUUACACCAACUACAAGGCAGGCGAGGAUGGCUACAUGAAGGCACUGCCUGGGCACCUGAAGCCUUUUGAGACCCUGCUAUCUCAGAACCAAGGAGGCAAGGCCUUCAUCGUGGGCGACCAGAUCUCCUUCGCUGACUACAACCUGCUGGACUUUGGGCUGAUCCACAAGGUCCUGGUCCCCGGCUGCCUGGAUGCGUUUCCCCCUGCUUUCGGCCUAUGUGGAGCGUCAAGCUCAAAGCCUUCCUGGAGUCCCCCAAGCACGUGA